This 252-nucleotide ribosomal RNA is filed under the name uncultured bacterium. RNAcentral describes it as "partial 16S ribosomal RNA". It matches the Rfam family "Bacterial small subunit ribosomal RNA", at positions 524 to 776 of the family's 1533-position model. The record is from RNAcentral.
UACGGAGGAUGCGAGCGUUAUCCGGAUUUAUUGGGUUUAAAGGGUGCGUAGGCGGACUGUUAAGUCAGCGGUAAAAGCCCGGGGCUCAACCCCGGCGAGCCGUUGAAACUGGCUGUCUUGAGAUGUCGAGAGGUAUGCGGAAUGCGCAGUGUAGCGGUGAAAUGCUUAGAUAUUGCGCAGAACUCCGAUUGCGAAGGCAGCAUACCGGCGGCGAUCUGACGCUGAGGCACGAGAGCGUGGGUAUCGAGCAGG